AGCGAACGCUGGCGGCAGGCCUAACACAUGCAAGUCGAACGGACCCUUCGGGGUUAGUGGCGGACGGGUGAGUAACACGUGGGAACGUGCCUUUAGGUUCGGAAUAGCUCCUGGAAACGGGUGGUAAUGCCGAAUGUGCCCUUCGGGGGAAAGAUUUAUCGCCUUUAGAGCGGCCCGCGUCUGAUUAGCUAGUUGGUGAGGUAACGGCUCACCAAGGCGACGAUCAGUAGCUGGUCUGAGAGGAUGACCAGCCACACUGGGACUGAGACACGGCCCAGACUCCUACGGGAGGCAGCAGUGGGGAAUCUUGCGCAAUGGGCGAAAGCCUGACGCAGCCAUGCCGCGUGAAUGAUGAAGGUCUUAGGAUUGUAAAAUUCUUUCACCGGGGACGAUA
Molecule: ribosomal RNA, 394 nt
Filed under: uncultured bacterium
Lineage: Bacteria
Description: bacterial SSU rRNA
Rfam family: Bacterial small subunit ribosomal RNA
Source: RNAcentral